RNAcentral lists this transfer RNA (86 nucleotides) under Candidatus Hydrogenedentota bacterium. Its description in RNAcentral is "tRNA-Tyr". It matches the Rfam family "tRNA". Rfam says of the family: Transfer RNA (tRNA) molecules are approximately 80 nucleotides in length. Their secondary structure includes four short double-helical elements and three loops (D, anti-codon, and T loops). Lineage: Bacteria; Pseudomonadati; Candidatus Hydrogenedentota. The record is from RNAcentral.
GGUGAGAUGCCCGAGUGGUUAAAGGGAACGGGCUGUAAACCCGUCGGCAAUAGCCUACGAAGGUUCGAAUCCUUCUCUCACCACCA